This 253-nucleotide ribosomal RNA is filed under the name uncultured bacterium. RNAcentral's name for it is "partial 16S ribosomal RNA". It matches the Rfam family "Bacterial small subunit ribosomal RNA", at positions 524 to 776 of the family's 1533-position model. The record is from RNAcentral.
UACGAAAGGUGCAAGCGUUACUCGGAAUCACUGGGCGUAAAGCGCACGUAGGCGGACUUGAAGGUCAAUUGUGAAAUACCUGGGCUCAACCCGGGAACUGCAGUUGAAACCGCUUGUCUUGAAUACCUGAGGGGGUGGGGGAAUACCUGGUGGAGAAGUGAAAUUCGUAGAGAUCAGGUGGAACACCGGAGGCGAAGGCGCCUGCCUGGCAGUGUAUUGACGCUGAGGUGCGAAAGCGUGGGGAGCAAACAGG